Long non-coding RNA from Gopherus flavomarginatus (Mexican gopher tortoise), 256 nucleotides. RefSeq lists it as uncharacterized. NCBI's taxonomy places the organism in Eukaryota, Metazoa, Chordata, Testudines, Testudinidae. The transcript has 3 exons. The record is from RefSeq and is a predicted model, not a curated record.
GCAUGUGGGCGUGCAGGGUGUGCAUGUGUGUGGAGGGGUGUGCACAUGGUGCCUGUGGGCAUGUGGGUGUGCAUGGUGUGCAUGUGUGUGGAGGGGUGUGCACAUGGUGCCUGUGGGCAUGUGGGUGUGCAUGGCGUGCAUGUGUGUGGAGGGGUGUGCGCAUGGUGCCUGUGGGCAUGUGGGCGUGCAGGGUGUGCAUGUGUGUGGAGGGGUGUGCACAUGGUGCCUGUGGGCAUGUGGGCAUGCAGGGUGUGCA